This is a long non-coding RNA of Vespa velutina, 5483 nucleotides long. RefSeq lists it as uncharacterized. The transcript is spliced from 4 exons. NCBI's taxonomy places the organism in Eukaryota, Metazoa, Arthropoda, Insecta, Hymenoptera, Vespidae. The record is from RefSeq and is a predicted model, not a curated record.
GACCAUGGUAUGCCUGGUAUAACACAAUGAAUGACACAACUAUGAUGAAGAAGCGUAACUGAAUAUGCAAAGUGUACAGUAUUUGAUUCAGUUAAAGAAUUAAGUACAUGUUGUGUUUUCAUUGGUCUAUAUAGGUAAUGAUGACAAACACAGACCAUUCCUUUAGAAUCUGAUACCACAAUAAGGUCUAAAGAACAAUCAUGAACUCUCAAAGGUAUAACAUCAUCUUCAUAAGUUCCACAAUUAGAAGUAGUUGAUAAUUGAGGUAAGUUUAAAGGAAUAUUUAACUGAAAAACAAAACAUUGUAAUUAUUGACAAAUAAUUAGUUAUAUAGAAAUGUUUACUGUACAAUAAAAUAUUAACCACUGUUUCAUGUGGAAGAUCAUCAUGAAAUUGAAGUCCACUAAGCGUCGGAUUCGAACGAGACAAUUUGAUAUUAUUUUCAUCGUUAUCUUCGCUCACUAAACUCGUAGGAAUUCGUCUGUGAUGAAUAUGAUAUAAGACUUGAUUUAUCAUAUCCCAUUGUGCCCAAACAAAUUCUUUUACUAAUUCUUCGUGUUUUAAUUCUUUUAUUUCCCACAAAGCAUCCACUGAUGCAUCAAAUAUGAUAGUAUAUAUCAUAACACCUACAUAAAUAAAAUCAUAACAUUAAUAUAUAAAGAAAGUUAAAUAAAUCCUGAUUAAUUUAAGAAUAAUUCUAUUAUAUACUUACAUUCUUGAUGAAGUAAUAAUAAAAAUUUAUCAGAUGUAGUUUGGAGUUUUUCCCUAUAUAAGAACUGAAUACGCACUUGCUUAGAUCUUUCAAUUUCUAAAUUAUAAAGUUUAUCUAUGUCAAGUUUCAUUAGAUAUGCUUGAUAAGUUUCUACAUUCACAAUUGACUCUUCUACUUUAGAGCUAUUUUCUUCAAUAGAUUCGACAACUUUUUCAAUAGAAGAAUUUUGCUUUGUCACAUAGCCAAGCAACGUACGGCUUUGAUUUAUUGUAGCUUGAACAAUAUUCAAUAUCAUUUGAAAACGAUGUAGGAUCUACAAAAUAUAAUGCGAGGUGUUUUUUACAAAUUAUAUAUAUUUUUUAUAUAAUAUUCACCUCUAAUUUAUUUUUAAUCCGGUCGUAAUGGCCUAUAACAGUAUAUUGCAAAACUGUGCCGUCUUCUAAUAACUUUUCUUCCAACCAACAUAUAAGAAGAGAUCCAUCUUUUUCUUGACCCAAAAGUUUCCAUUGUUCAGCUACAAAUAUAGAAAUAUAGAUCAUGCAUGAGCUAAGAAAUAUUAAUAUAUUAAUAUAUUAGUUAUAAUAUAUACAAGGCUGUUAUAUAGUUUUCGUCAUAAAUUAUGAUAUAAGAAGUAGUAAGUAAGCAAAUACAGACUGCAACUUCAUACUUGUAAAGUUAUAAGAUUUUCACAUAUUUUUAUAUAUAUAUGAAAGUGAGUAAGAAUUAUUGAAUAUUUCAAAAUAUAUUUAUGAUACAAGUAGAAGCACAAGUUAUUGUACAAUUUUAAUGCUUUUAUAAUUUAUUAUGAUAUAAUUAAUCACAAUAGAACAUUGACAUUUAAAGGAUAUAUUAACCUGUUACUAUAUGUAUUGAUACUUUACUUCAAAGAAUAUUAAUUAUAAAAAUAUAUAAAAAUAAAUAUUAGUUUAAUCCUAUAAAUGUCAAUAUUGAAAUAAGAGCAGUAAAUAGAAAAAGAAGUAGUAAGUUACAAGGAAAUAUAAAGAAUUAAAAAAAAAAACAAAAAAAAAAAACAAAAGAAAAAAUAAAAAAAAAGAAAAAAAAACAGAACCAAUCCUUACUUUCUGUUAAUCAUGUAAUUCCUAUUAUUUACUUGCUUUUUAUGAAACUUGAUAGAACACUUAUAAUGCACUUAUUAAUACUUCCUUUUCAAUCAUAUAAUCCAACAACGUUCCUUUUCCUGUUUCCAAUUGAAAAGUUCCUUUUUAAUGCGAUAAUCCGAUCAAAAUAUUGGACUUUGUUGGUAUUUAUGGAAUGCUAUUAAAUUAAGAAUAACAACAAAACAUUCUACAUCAAUAAAUAAAUAAACUGAGCUAAUAGUAUAGAUUGCCUUUAUGUAUUUUACUUCGUUAAGAAUUAUUUUAUUACAAUAACAAUAAUGCUGAAUAUAUCAUUGCACUAUUAAGUUUAUUAAAUGUAUCUCUUUUAUUUUAACAAAUAUAAUAUACCUGUGACAGUUUUAUCUGGCAAAAGUAAUCGUAGCUUGGCAGCAAGAUUUCCUAUCAUAUCUUUCUCGGAACUAUGUCUUAAUAAAAAAAUCUUAUGUGCAACGAUUGCAAUUAAAUGAAAAAAAAAAAAAAAAUUACUUUCUCCGAAUUAAAGAAUUAUGUAAAAAUGUCACAAAAAGCACAUUUCAUUAGACAGCUGGAUCCCAUUGUUGAAUUAUAGAACUCAAGAUGAUAAGGAGAUAUAGACGUAGAAGACGUAGAUGUUCUAUCUCUUUCUAGUAAAAUAUGAUUGGUCAAUGCGUUUCCAUGGUAACGGAUCAAUCCUAUAUCUAACUGCACCUUUGAGUAAAUCUAUAAAAGGCGAACCAAUGGAGGAUAUUUAGCAGAUUGUACAGUCGGUAUACACAGGGAAGGUUAUUUUUGAAGAUCAUCUUAAUCGAAUGUGAAGUAAAAUUGUAAUAUUUUUGUUAAACAUAUUGCAAUAAGUAAUGUAUUCUUAAUCGAAUUAGAGUUGCAACUUGAAAAAUAAUAAGGAGAUACAUCGUGAAGAAUAAUUGUCUAUGUCUCCAGUGUGAAGCCCAAUAUCCCCUUCAAUUAUUCAUUCCCAUCUGUUGCUACUAUUUAUCUAAUGGAGAGGAACACUAUAUGCGCUAUAUCCAUUAAUAAGCAGGGUAGUUCACAACAGAUGAACGUAUUAUCUAAUUGGAUUAAAACUUAUUUACAAGAGUAAGAUGCUAACUUGGUGAUCGCACACCUCUGAUUUUGGGAUCAUAAUUUGAUUAUUUCAUUAUGAAGAAGUAUAGUUUCUUGAGAUCUUAUUCAAAAAGUGCCAAUAUGUCGUCGCUCGAUGAGGGAUUUCCACUGCUUGCUCCACUACUAGGUGGAGUAUUUAGAUCAGGCGGAUCUAAAUAUGAGAGAAGUUCCAUUGGAUCUACGACAUUGUCUGGCAAGAGCUAAAAAAAAAAAGAGAUUGAAAAAAAAAAUUAGGCCAUGAUAUUUUGCAUUCAUUUUAUAUCAUUUUAUAUCAAUAACUCAUUGAUUGCCUAGUAUAUACAAUAUAUAAUAUAUUUAUAUAUUAUUUAAUACUUACAUUCAAUGCUUCUUGGCCAGUACCCUCGCCAUCUAUAACCGCAGCUGGAUCGAAAUUUAAGUCUGAUGGUAUGUCCGCGGUAUCGGUAUUUAUAUUUGUACUUGUAUUACCAGACGUAUUAUGGUUUCCUGUAGAUUCCUGAGAUGCAGGAGGAACACUUGGUGGACCACUAUUACCACCACCAGGUGUGUGGGGUGUGUGAGGGGUAUGAGGUGUGUGUGGUGUGUGCGGCAUCUAUCAUCACAAAAUAAAAUACGAAUAAAUCGUAUGGGGUAGGAUUUAUUUAUUUAUAUUAAAUUCAGUUUAUUAUAUCUAGGGAAUAUACCUGAUCAUUUAAUGAUUUUUCCAUAGCAUUAAGGGGAUCCAAGGAAUUCACUGAUUCGUUCAAAUGAGUAAGAGGUCCCGUUCCGCUGCUAUAAUCGUUAUUGGUUGAGUUAUUCGUUCCAGGAUUGAUAUCGAACGAUCCACCAGAUGAAUUUCGGUGAUUGAUAUUAUUAUUCCCGUAAGUGGACGACGUAUUGUUCAUCAUCGAGCCGCUUACUAUGCUACUCAUGUCCGGUGGUAUAUAGGGGCUCAUAGCUUGAUUCAUGUCCCAAUUAUUCAUUGUGGGCAUAUUCAUACUUCCAGGUGACAUAGCUUUCGUCAUUCUUUUACAAUCAUUUUCCUCUUCUGACUUAAUAUUGGCUAAAUUCUUAGCAGGUUUCCAAUUCGCCGCAGAGUCUAUCGUUACUUCUUCUACUUCUGCGGUAUUCAGAGUAUUCAGAAUUCCCCACAUAUAUUGAUCGACCUCUAAACCCUCUAAUUGAGCUGGUUUUCUGUAAAAUUAAAAUAAUGACAUUAUUAAUAAUAACAUAUUUUCUUUUUUAUAUAUUGGUAAUUAAUAACGAUUUGAUUUUGGAUACUUACGUGCACACAGGACACCUCCAUGAACCCCGUUCGCAAUUUAAUUGCAGAUAAGACUCUAAGUCGAAACAUUGUAUAUGUUUGCAAUCGUGUCCCCUCGCUGGCAGUGUAAUACGUUUGAAAGUUAUAGGACAUUUUAAAGAUACCUGUAAAAGGAUGAUAUAAUGAUGAUAUAAUAUUUUUACAGGUUCAUAAGUUAAUAUAAAAAUAUUUAACGAAGUAUAUUCUUACCUUAAGUGCUGUUUGUUCCACGACAUCUUUCUCGGAUUGGAUGCCGUUACUCGAAAUUGUAUUAUUAAAAUUUCUUUUGAUUUUCGUUAUGCAAUGUUCUGCAGUAAGUAAUCUCUUACGUAAUAAACCUUGCAGAACGCUACGUACACUUGGUCGAUGGACUAAUUGAAGAACAAAUAGAUGUGACUGUAAAUGAGAAUAAACAUUUAUAUUAAUAUGUACAGACUAAAAAUAUUUAAAUGCCAAUGCUACACAUAUCUAUGUGUUUUUUUUUUUUUUUAAAUACUUACACAACAGCAUGCGGAUACUGUAAUCUGUAUAGUAUUUCUUCCCGGUUGGCACACGUCCUUUAGAUAAAGAGGCUUGUGGGAUGUCUUGUUUUCGCCACGAUCAAUAACGAGGGGCGUUGCAUUGACAGAAACUUGAACACUUGCAGGCCAAUUUGUGUUCAUCUGUCUAUCUUCGUGAUGGAAACAUUUAAGCUGUAGCUCCAAGUCGGAUCGCCACAUUAACGUUUGAUGAACCGUAGAUUUCAGUUGAAAAACAUGGUUGCUUACAGCCAAAUUAUGUUCUAAGCGGAAGGGUGGAAGAAUAAUACCGUCUCUCACGGGGAAUGUUAAUCUUAAUUCAUCGUCUUCUGCGAACAAGAAGAUUCAUUAUUAGGCGAUUUGAUUUCGUUGAAAUUUGGUUUAAUGUCCGGAUUUGGACUGAUGUAAGGUGGUAUACUAGUCGCUGGCGUUAAUGGAGGAGUUGGAUUACCAGGUAUAGGACUAUGUUGAUAAUUCAGAUUUGCUGCCCCUGUCGUUCUCAUCGACGCCACAUCCUGUUGGUAUUGACUUGUAGCCGCAGCAGCAGCAGCAGCAGCAGCUCCGUACGAAGAUUGUCCACCACCGUAAGCUGCAUUUUGUUGAUGACCGACGAAUUGGUUCCCUACUGUGGUGGGUCCCAUACUAACUGGUACACCAUUGCCAUUAUAAUAUUGGCCUGCUGCUGCUUGCGACGCCGUAUUAUACGAUGGCGUUGUUUGCCUCAUGUUCGUCCCUUUAAAAUAUGUUAUUUAAUGGUAAGCACAAAUUUCAUU